CACGACAAGGUGCUAUGGUGGAAGACAUUCAAAGGUCACUACAAGACCUAUUUUCGCUUCCCACCUCCUCAAUGAGGCAUGUUUUGAGUUUCUCUUAUCUCCUCCUUACUUGGAUUGGAAAAUUGGUGACAAUGUCCGGUUUAAGUUUAGGGGAUAUUUUGUUACUUAAUUAUUUCUCUGCAUUUCUGGUUGUUGCGUGUUUUUUAUUUUUGUUUGAACAAAUUUGCAUAUACCAUUGUUAAAAC
This 245-nucleotide long non-coding RNA is filed under the name Lathyrus oleraceus (garden pea). RNAcentral's name for it is "Pisum sativum (pea) long non-coding RNA (PSAT_LNC016799)". The record is from RNAcentral. Lineage: Eukaryota; Viridiplantae; Streptophyta; Magnoliopsida; Fabales; Fabaceae.